Molecule: ribosomal RNA, 460 nt
Filed under: uncultured bacterium
Lineage: Bacteria
Description: partial 16S ribosomal RNA
Rfam family: Bacterial small subunit ribosomal RNA
Source: RNAcentral
CCUACGGGAGGCAGCAGUGAGGAAUAUUGGUCAAUGGGCUUACGCCUGAACCAGCCAAGUCGCGUGCGGGAAGACUGCCCUAUGGGUUGUAAACCUCUUUUGUCAGGGAGCAACGCCGGCUACGUGUAGCCGGACUGAGAGUACCUGAAGAAAAAGCCUCGGCUAAUUCCGUGCCAGCAGCCGCGGUAAUACGGAGGAUGCGAGCGUUAUCCGGAUUUAUUGGGUUUAAAGGGUGCGUAGGCGGAAUGCCAAGUCAGCGGUAAAAUCGCGGGGCUCAACCUCGCGCCGCCGUUGAAACUGGCGGUCUUGAGUGGGCGAGAAGUAUGCGGAAUGCGUGGUGUAGCGGUGAAAUGCAUAGAUAUCACGCAGAACUCCGAUUGCGAAGGCAGCAUACCGGCGCCCAACUGACGCUGAAGCACGAAAGCGUGGGUAUCGAACAGGAUUAGAUACCCGGGUAGUC